AAAUAAUGAAAACAUCAAAAAAGAAACCAACAUAUAAACGAACACCCACCAUCUUUAAUAAAAUAAGAAACGGGAAGGAUAAAAGAAAAGAUAUAGAAAAGAAAGAAGUCUAUAAAAUCCCUGUCAUAGAUAUAUAUACGCAACAGCUAAUUUUGUACAUAGGAAUCACGAGAAACUUAAAACACCAAAUAAAAGAGCAUAAGACAGACAUUAAGAAAGCGAAACUUAAUACUGCCUUAGCAAUAGAAGCUUAUGAAAAAACAUCAAUAUAUCAUGGGAAAAAGCAAAAAUAAUAAAACCAAUAGAUAACCCAUCCCAAGCGAUAUUAAUGGAAUUUCUGCAAAUAAAAAAAGCGACAUACAAUGAGGAAGUUCUCAAUGAAAAGCCAACAAUUCAAUUACCACAAGCCUGGGAAUAUAUCCUAGAAAAAACGGAAAAGAAAAAAAGACUAUCAAAGUAGAUGUUACACCAAGAUGAAAAGCACUUAACCAAAUAAAAGUCUUAAGAAAUUAUAUACUUAAUUUAUUUACAUAUAUUAACAUGAUAUGAUCCUGCCG
This 557-nucleotide long non-coding RNA is filed under the name Androctonus crassicauda. Lineage: Eukaryota; Metazoa; Arthropoda; Arachnida; Scorpiones; Buthidae. The record is from RNAcentral.